RNAcentral lists this ribosomal RNA (433 nucleotides) under uncultured bacterium. RNAcentral's name for it is "partial 16S ribosomal RNA". It matches the Rfam family "Bacterial small subunit ribosomal RNA", at positions 29 to 507 of the family's 1533-position model. The record is from RNAcentral.
AACGAACGCUGGCGGCAGGCCUAACACAUGCAAGUCGAGCGAGGACUUCGGUUCUAGCGGCGGACGGGUGUGUAACGCGUGGGAAUGUGCCCUUCUCUACGGAAUAGCCCUGGGAAACUGGGAGUAAUACCGUAUACGCCCUAUUGGGGAAAGAUUUAUCGGAGAAGGAUCAGCCCGCGUUGGAUUAGGUAGUUGGUGGGGUAAUGGCCUACCAAGCCGACGAUCCAUAGCUGGUUUGAGAGGAUGAUCAGCCACACUGGGACUGAGACACGGCCCAGACUCCUACGGGAGGCAGCAGUGGGGAAUCUUAGACAAUGGGGGCAACCCUGAUCUAGCCAUGCCGCGUGAGUGAUGAAGGCCUUAGGGUUGUAAAGCUCUUUCAGCUGGGAAGAUAAUGACGGUACCAGCAGAAGAAGCCCCGGCUAACUCCGUG